UAGAGUUUGAUCCUGGCUCAGGACGAACGCUGGCGGCGUGCCUAAUACAUGCAAGUCGAACGCUUCUUUUCCCACCGGAGCUUGCUCCACCGGGAAAAGAGGAGUGGCGAACGGGUGAGUAACACGUGGGUAACCUGCCCAUCAGAAGGGGAUAACACUUGGAAACAGGUGCUAAUACCGUAUAACAAUCGAAACCGCAUGGUUUCGUUUUGAAAGGCGCUUUACGGUGCCGCUGAUGGAUGGACCCGCGGUGCAUUAGCUAGUUGGUGAGGUAACGGCUCACCAAGGCCACGAUGCAUAGCCGACCUGAGAGGGUGAUCGGCCACAUUGGGACUGAGACACGGCCCAAACUCCUACGGGAGGCAGCAGUAGGGAAUCUUCGGCAAUGGACGAAAGUCUGACCGAGCAACGCCGCGUGAGUGAAGAAGGUUUUCGGAUCGUAAAACUCUGUUGUUAGAGAAGAACAAGGGUGAGAGUAACUGUUCACCCCUUGACGGUAUCUAACCAGAAAGCCACGGCUAACUACGUGCCAGCAGCCGCGGUAAUACGUAGGUGGCAAGCGUUGUCCGGAUUUAUUGGGCGUAAAGCGAGCGCAGGCGGUUUCUUAAGUCUGAUGUGAAAGCCCCCGGCUCAACCGGGGAGGGUCAUUGGAAACUGGGAGACUUGAGUGCAGAAGAGGAGAGUGGAAUUCCAUGUGUAGCGGUGAAAUGCGUAGAUAUAUGGAGGAACACCAGUGGCGAAGGCGGCUCUCUGGUCUGUAACUGACGCUGAGGCUCGAAAGCGUGGGGAGCAAACAGGAUUAGAUACCCUGGUAGUCCACGCCGUAAACGAUGAGUGCUAAGUGUUGGAGGGUUUCCGCCCUUCAGUGCUGCAGCUAACGCAUUAAGCACUCCGCCUGGGGAGUACGACCGCAAGGUUGAAACUCAAAGGAAUUGACGGGGGCCCGCACAAGCGGUGGAGCAUGUGGUUUAAUUCGAAGCAACGCGAAGAACCUUACCAGGUCUUGACAUCCUUUGACCACUCUAGAGAUAGAGCUUCCCCUUCGGGGGCAAAGUGACAGGUGGUGCAUGGUUGUCGUCAGCUCGUGUCGUGAGAUGCUGGGUUAAGUCCCGCAACGAGCGCAACCCUUAUUGUUAGUUGCCAUCAUUUAGUUGGGCACUCUAGCAAGACUGCCGGUGACAAACCGGAGGAAGGUGGGGAUGACGUCAAAUCAUCAUGCCCCUUAUGACCUGGGCUACACACGUGCUACAAUGGGAAGUACAACGAGUCGCGAAGUCGCGAGGCUAAGCUAAUCUCUUAAAGCUUCUCUCAGUUCGGAUUGUAGGCUGCAACUCGCCUACAUGAAGCCGGAAUCGCUAGUAAUCGCGGAUCAGCACGCCGCGGUGAAUAUGUUCCCGGGCCUUGUACACACCGCCCGUCACACCACGAGAGUUUGUAACACCCGAAGUCGGUGAGGUAACCUUUUGGAGCCAGCCGCCUAAGGUGGGAUAGAUGAUUGGGGUGAAGUCGUAACAAGGUAGCCGUAAUCACUAGUGAAUUC
RNAcentral lists this ribosomal RNA (1540 nucleotides) under Enterococcus mundtii. RNAcentral describes it as "bacterial SSU rRNA". It matches the Rfam family "Bacterial small subunit ribosomal RNA". Lineage: Bacteria; Bacillati; Bacillota; Bacilli; Lactobacillales; Enterococcaceae. The record is from RNAcentral.